This 136-nucleotide microRNA precursor is filed under the name Hordeum vulgare. RNAcentral's name for it is "microRNA MIR1122". It matches the Rfam family "MIR1120/MIR1122 microRNA precursor family". The record is from RNAcentral. Lineage: Eukaryota; Viridiplantae; Streptophyta; Magnoliopsida; Poales; Poaceae.
AAAGUACUCCCUCCGUCCUAAAAUUCUUGUCCUAGAUUUGUCUAGAUAUGAAUGUAUCUAGUCAUGCUUUAGUAUUUAGAUAUACUCAUUUAUAGAUAAAACUAAGACAAAUUUUUUGAAACGGAGAGAGUAUGUU